AAUAUUGGACAAUGGGCGCAAGCCUGAUCCAGCCAUGCCGCGUGAGUGAAGAAGGCCUUCGGGUUGUAAACUUCUUUUGUAAGGGAAUAAAGUGUAGUACGUGUAAUAUUUUGCAUGUACCUUACGAAUAAGGAUCGGCUACCUCCGUUCCAUCAGCCGCGGUAAUACGGAGGAUCCGAGCGUUAUCCGGAUUUAUUGGGUUUAAAGGGUGCGCAGGCGGGAGAUUAAGUCGGCGGUGAAAUUUUGCAGCUCAACUGUAAAAGUGCCUUCGAAACUGGUUUCCUUGAGUGUGGAUGAAGUAGGCGGAAUUUGUGGUGUAGCGGUGAAAUGCAUAGAUAUCACGAGGAACUCCGAUUGCGCAGGCAGCUUACUAAGCCAUAACUGACGCUCAGGCACGAAGGCGUGGGGAUCAAACAGG
This 418-nucleotide ribosomal RNA is filed under the name uncultured bacterium. Its description in RNAcentral is "partial 16S ribosomal RNA". It matches the Rfam family "Bacterial small subunit ribosomal RNA", at positions 360 to 776 of the family's 1533-position model. The record is from RNAcentral.